This 352-nucleotide unclassified non-coding RNA is filed under the name soil metagenome. Its description in RNAcentral is "partial contains 5.8S ribosomal RNA, internal transcribed spacer 2, and large subunit ribosomal RNA". The stretch from base 1 to 120 matches the Rfam family "5.8S ribosomal RNA", at positions 35 to 154 of the family's 154-position model. The record is from RNAcentral.
GAUGAAGAACGCAGCGAAAUGCGAUAAGUAAUGUGAAUUGCAGAAUUCAGUGAAUCAUCGAGUCUUUGAACGCACAUUGCGCCCGCCAGUAUUCUGGCGGGCACGCCUGUUCGAGCGUCAUUACAACCCUCAGGCCCCCGGGCCUGGCGUUGGGGAUCGGCGGAGCCCCCCGUGGGCACACGCCGUCCCCCAAAUGCAGUGGCGGUCCCGCCGCAGCUUCCAUCGCGUAGUAGCUAACACCUCGCGACUGGAGAGCGGCGCGGCCACGCCGUAAAACACCCAACUCUUCUGAAGUUGACCUCGAAUCAGGUAGGAAUACCCGCUGAACUUAAGCAUAUCAAUAAGCGGAGGA